UAAUACCUUCGGGGCAGGGUGCGUAGCUUUAAGUGGCGAACAAAUCCCGACCGGCGGUAAAGCCCGCGAGCAUACACAUAUGCAUGAUCCGGUGAAACUCCGGAGCCGACGGUAUAGUCCGGAUGGAAGAAGGUUUUU
This 138-nucleotide non-coding RNA is filed under the name bacterium SM23_31. RNAcentral's name for it is "Bacterium SM23 FMN sequence". It matches the Rfam family "FMN riboswitch aptamer (RFN element)". From Rfam's summary of the family: The RFN element is a highly conserved domain that is found frequently in the 5'-untranslated regions of prokaryotic mRNAs that encode for flavin mononucleotide (FMN) biosynthesis and transport proteins. The record is from RNAcentral.